CACAGGAGGGCGCCGGAUCAUACAGCUGCCCUGAAGAGGGGACAAGCCUGCUCAUGUGCAGUAAGUUGUUUACAUUCAGACGGGGCUGGCUGUUGGCGCCAUCUUUGUUUUGCCGCACCACUCCCUACAACUCAGUAGCAUGAUCUGCUCCUAGAAGUAAUGAAGCGUUCUUCAGCAAUUCUGUCUCCGUAUAAAUUCAUGGACAUUUGAAGAGCUGACCCAAAGCCAAAACAGGGGAACAUUUCACAUCUUAAGGACCCAUGGAAGUAUCCUAAGAACAAAGGCACAGUUGCUUCUUUUGUAUCCAUGGUAGUAAGAAAGCCAAGUUCCCAAAGCACAGCACAAUGCUUCUCGUGUUGAAGAGGCUGUCGCUUGAUUCUACUUAAGAGUGCCAGUCUGUAUUUCAGCAAUCUGGAAAGCUUUGAAAGCCUGGAUCUCCCUGGAUCUCCCUCGCAAAACUAACCAACUUUUGUAGCAGAAUGGACUACUCUAAGGAAGUGUCUUCCGAAGUAGAUGUACUUUCCUAACAACUGCCUAUGAAAAGCUACAUCAAUGGCCUUUGAGCGCUGGGCAUGGAGGAAGCACUGUGUUAUAAGCUGACUUGUGGGGGUGACAGUCCCAAAUAGGCAACUAUGUCUUCAUGGACCUUUUGGUGGUGUAUGCAUUUAUCAGCUUUUUAGCUUCCACUUGGUUAUCUUUAUGUGAUACGUCCUGUGGUUUUAUUUCCAUAUCAACUCGUCCAUUUCAGAAAAUAGCUUCCUUACUUCAGCCAUUUUUUCUCUCAGUCUUUCCAAAUAUAAACUCAGAUGCUUUCCCACAAUGGCUAAAGUUGUUUACUGUUAUAUUUUUAUAUUCAGAGAGGUAAUAAUAAUUGAUUCUUAAAAUGUAUUCAUUGUUACAGAGAUAAACCGAAUAAAAUGUUCAAUUAAUGGUA
Non-coding RNA from Rattus norvegicus (Norway rat), 934 nucleotides. The record is from RefSeq and is a predicted model, not a curated record. NCBI's taxonomy places the organism in Eukaryota, Metazoa, Chordata, Mammalia, Rodentia, Muridae.